UAGCAUAAUCAAUUGUUUUUUAAUUGGAAACUGGAAUGAACGGUUAAACAAAUUUUAAUUUUUUUUUUUUUAAUUAAUGAAUUUUUAUUAUAAGUAAAAAUACUUAUAUAUUUUAAAGGGACGAUAAGACCCUAGAAGCUUUAAUUAAAAUAUUAUAAGAUAAUUUUAUUUAAAACUUAUAAUUUUUAUAAUUUUGGUUGGGGAAACAUAAACUACAAAAAUAAUUUUUAUAUAAAUUUAUUUAUUAUUUUAUGAUCUUUUAANUAAAAAAAAAGGAAAAGUUACUCUAGGGAUAACAGCGUAAUNAUUUUGGAUAGACCAUAUAUAUAAAAUUGAUUACGACCUCGAUGUUGAAUUAAGAUAUCUUUAUAAAGU
This 375-nucleotide ribosomal RNA is filed under the name Metacrangonyx sp. 7 MDMBR-2012. RNAcentral's name for it is "partial 16S ribosomal RNA". Lineage: Eukaryota; Metazoa; Arthropoda; Malacostraca; Amphipoda; Metacrangonyctidae. The record is from RNAcentral.